UACGUAGGCAGCGAGCGUUGUUCGGAGUCACUGGGCGUAAAGGGUGCGCAGGCGGCCGUGUGUGUGAGGCGUGAAAGCCCGGGGCUCAACCCCGGAAUUGCACCUCAAACUACAUGGCUAGAGCAUUGGAGAGGGUAGCGGAAUUCACGGUGUAGCAGUGAAAUGCGUAGAUAUCGUGAGGAACACCAGAGGCGAAGGCGGCUACCUGGACAAUUGCUGACGCUCAGGCACGAAAGCUUGGGGAGCAAAAGGG
Molecule: ribosomal RNA, 253 nt
Filed under: uncultured bacterium
Lineage: Bacteria
Description: partial 16S ribosomal RNA
Rfam family: Bacterial small subunit ribosomal RNA
Source: RNAcentral